This 447-nucleotide ribosomal RNA is filed under the name uncultured bacterium. RNAcentral describes it as "partial 16S ribosomal RNA". It matches the Rfam family "Bacterial small subunit ribosomal RNA", at positions 29 to 523 of the family's 1533-position model. The record is from RNAcentral.
AACGAACGCUGGCGGCAGGCUUAACACAUGCAAGUCGAGCGCGUAGCAAUACGAGCGGCAGACGGGUGAGUAACGCGUGGGAAUCUACCGUACCCUACGGAAUAGCUCUGGGAAACUGGAGGUAAUACCGUAUACGCCCUUUUGGGGAAAGAUUUAUCGGGGUAUGAUGAGCCCGCGUUGGAUUAGCUAGUUGGUGGGGUAAAGGCCUACCAAGGCGACGAUCCAUAGCUGGUCUGAGAUGAUGAUCAGCCACAUUGGGACUGAGACACGGCCCAAACUCCUACGGGAGGCAGCAGUGGGGAAUAUUGGACAAUGGGGGCAACCCUGAUCCAGCCAUGCCGCGUGAGUGAUGAAGGUCUUAGGAUUGUAAAGCUCUUUCACCGAUGAAGAUAAUGACGGUAGUCGGAGAAGAAGCCCCGGCUAACUUCGUGCCAGCAGCCGCCGUAA